RNAcentral lists this ribosomal RNA (429 nucleotides) under bacterium. RNAcentral describes it as "partial 16S ribosomal RNA". It matches the Rfam family "Bacterial small subunit ribosomal RNA", at positions 355 to 776 of the family's 1533-position model. The record is from RNAcentral.
UAGGGAAUCUUCGGCAAUGGGGGCAACCCUGACCGAGCAACGCCGCGUGAGUGAAGAAGGUUUUCGGAUCGUAAAGCUCUGUUGUAAGAGAAGAACGUGUGUGAGAGUGGAAAGUUCACACAGUGACGGUAACUUACCAGAAAGGGACGGCUAACUACGUGCCAGCAGCCGCGGUAAUACGUAGGUCCCGAGCGUUGUCCGGAUUUAUUGGGCGUAAAGCGAGCGCAGGCGGUUUAAUAAGUCUGAAGUUAAAGGCAGUGGCUUAACCAUUGUUCGCUUUGGAAACUGUUAAACUUGAGUGCAGAAGGGGAGAGUGGAAUUCCAUGUGUAGCGGUGAAAUGCGUAGAUAUAUGGAGGAACACAGGUGGCGAAAGCGGCUCUCUGGUCUGUAACUGACGCUGAGGCUCGAAAGCGUGGGGAGCAAACAGG